RNAcentral lists this ribosomal RNA (492 nucleotides) under uncultured bacterium. RNAcentral's name for it is "partial 16S ribosomal RNA". It matches the Rfam family "Bacterial small subunit ribosomal RNA", at positions 38 to 507 of the family's 1533-position model. The record is from RNAcentral.
GGGGGGGGGGGGGGGGGGGGGGGGGGGGGGGGGGGCGGGGGGCGGGGCGGUGGGGGGGUGCUGUGAGGGGGGGCGAGGGGCGGACGGGGGGGGGAUACAUCGGAGGCUACUUUUUCGUGGGGGGGAACGUGGGGAAACUUACGCUAAUACCGCGUACGACCUACGGGUGAAAGCAGGGGAUCUUCGGACCUUGCGCGAUUGAGUGAGCCGAUGUGGGAUUAGCUAGUUGGCGGGGUAAAGGCCCACCAAGGCGAGGAUCCGUAGCUGGUCUGAGAGGAUGAUCAGCCACACUGGAACGGAGACACGGUCCAGACUCCUACGGGAGGCAGCAGUGGGGAAUAUUGGACAAUGGGCGCAAGCCUGAUCCAGCCAUACCGCGUGGGUGAAGAAGGCCUUCGGGUUGUAAAGCCCUUUUGUUGGGAAAGAAAAGCAGCAGGUUAAUACCCCGCUGUUCUGACGGUACCCAAAGAAUAAGCACCGGCUAACUUCGUG